This 428-nucleotide ribosomal RNA is filed under the name uncultured eukaryote. RNAcentral describes it as "SSU rRNA". It matches the Rfam family "Eukaryotic small subunit ribosomal RNA", at positions 592 to 1018 of the family's 1831-position model. The record is from RNAcentral.
CAAUAGCGUAUAUUAAAGUUGUUGCGGUUAAAAAGCUCGUAGUUGGAUUUCUGCCGAGGACGACCGGUCCGCCCACUGGGUGAGUAUCUGGCUCGGCCUGGGCAUCUUCUUGGAGAACGUAACUGCACUUGACUGUGUGGUGCGGUAUCCAGGACUUUUACUUUGAGGAAAUUAGAGUGUUUCAAGCAGGCACACGCCUUGAAUACAUUAGCAUGGAAUAAUAAGAUAGGACCUCGGUUCUAUUUUGUUGGUUUCUAGAGCUGAGGUAAUGAUUAAUAGGGAUAGCUGGGGGGACGGAGUAUUUAAUUGUCAGAGGUGAAAUUACUUGGAUUUAUUGAAGAACUAACUACUGCGAAAGCAUUUGUCCAAGGAUGUUUUCUAUUAAUCAAGAACGAAAGUUAGGGGAGUCGAAGAUGAUCAGAUACCAU